Molecule: long non-coding RNA, 210 nt
Filed under: Lathyrus oleraceus (garden pea)
Lineage: Eukaryota; Viridiplantae; Streptophyta; Magnoliopsida; Fabales; Fabaceae
Description: Pisum sativum (pea) long non-coding RNA (PSAT_LNC022117)
Source: RNAcentral
GAAAACAAUAUUUAAAUGUUUGCACAAAAAGUUUUUGGCUUGGGUUAGAGUGGAGAGAAGAAGAAGAAGGGCUAAGUCUUAAGUAAAAAAAAAGGAGGGAUGAAGAAUAAAAACCACAAUGGAGUCCCUCUCUUGAGAUCAUAUUGAUGAUCCAAGUAGCUCCCAUCCUUUGGAAUAAGCAACCAUAAAGUAUAAGCAAUCAAACAAGUC